CCGUCCUCUAUCCGGAAAAUAAGAUAUGUAAAUUAAAUAUAAAUAAAUAUAAAGAUAUAAUACAGAAAUAAUUUAAAUAUGUCAAAAGAAGGGAAACAAUACUCAUCCAAAUCCAAUUUUGACUUGUGUUAAUGUUUGAAGGAGUUUGUUACUGUGUUCAAACACUUUGCCUCAGGAAAGCACACAAAAUGCACCGCAGCGAAACAAAGGGGGACGUUAAUAUGCAUAGCAGAAAGGGCUUAUUAUUACAAUACUGGUCAAUCAAGAAAGCCAUCUUGUUACUGUCCCAUUCAGUCCUACGUAUACUCUGGAUUACAUGGGUUUUGGACCACAGCAUUUUGCCUGGGACAAAUAAAACCCCCAUGUCUUUUUUUAUGUCAACCAAAAAUGUUGCUUUUAAAAGAAGCACAGCAACUGUGACUGCUUUUGCUCUGGGUCAAUUUGGAUGGCUAUGCACAGGGGGAAAAACAGCAGGACUUACUAACAUGAAGAGAAAAGCAUGACAGCUUUAAGAAGGGAAUGCUAAAAAAAAAAAACGACAGAAAAGCUACUAAAAUAUAUCUAUCACAACCAUCAGGGAGCAGUCGUCUUUCACCUUAGUGAAACGUAACAAGUGCAUGAGCGAAUGCAGCCUUACGCCCGACUCCCCAUGCCCAGCCCUCUCCUUUCACAGACAAGCAGGCAGCCAUAUUCACUGUAAAUAGCAGUAAGGGCCAUAUCUCAUUCUGUACAACAUGUAAAUGUCAUUCUAAACACUAUCACAGGCAUGGGACGCCAUAGUGUGCAGUGGAAGCCACGCUGGCGGAAAUGUGCUUUUGUGUAAAAAAAUUAAAAAUCAUUUAUAUAUAGAUACAAAAAAAGAGCAGUUAUUGAUUUUCUUUUUUUAAAGCAUUGUGUAUGUGGCUGGCUCGUGCAGACUGUUUAAAAACAAAAAGUUGUAUUCGGAAAAGAUAAUGGUCUGUGUUGAGUUUCUAUACAUGUUGUGUUUGUAAAAAUGAGAAGAAAAAAAAACUUCCUCAAAAGGGAGAUCCUGGCUUCCAUGUAAUUUCGGGUGGAGGGGUUGAAAAAAAGCAAAACAUAAAAAUAAAGGCAUAGACCCUAAAUUAAUAAGAUGUUACAUUCACUGUUGUAAGUGCAAUGAGCUAUACUUCAUGUAUCCAUUGUAAAACCUUGUGUAUGUUUCAGUGUAUUCCUGUAACAGUGGUAGUAGACUUGGUGCAUCAUGCCAUGUAAUGUGAUGAAUGAAAUAAUGACAUACAAUACAUUUCAAUCAGGAACAUAAUAAAAGAGAAACAAAAG
Esox lucius (northern pike) is the source of this 1299-nucleotide long non-coding RNA. The record is from Ensembl. NCBI's taxonomy places the organism in Eukaryota, Metazoa, Chordata, Actinopteri, Esociformes, Esocidae.